CAGUCGCCGCGGGAAUACAGAGGGUGCAAGCGUUAAUCGGAAUUACUGGGCGUAAAGCGCGCGUAGGUGGUUCGUUAAGUUGGAUGUGAAAUCCCCGGGCUCAACCUGGGAACUGCAUCCAAAACUGGCGAGCUAGAGUAGGGCAGAGGGUGGUGGAAUUUCCUGUGUAGCGGUGAAAUGCGUAGAUAUAGGAAGGAACACCAGUGGCGAAGGCGACCACCUGGGCUCAUACUGACACUGAGGUGCGAAAGCGUGGGGAGCAAACAGGAUUAGAUACCCCCGUAGUCCCUGUCUCUUAUAC
This 301-nucleotide ribosomal RNA is filed under the name uncultured bacterium. RNAcentral describes it as "partial 16S ribosomal RNA". It matches the Rfam family "Bacterial small subunit ribosomal RNA", at positions 509 to 807 of the family's 1533-position model. The record is from RNAcentral.